This 339-nucleotide ribosomal RNA is filed under the name uncultured soil bacterium. RNAcentral's name for it is "bacterial SSU rRNA". It matches the Rfam family "Bacterial small subunit ribosomal RNA", at positions 26 to 364 of the family's 1533-position model. The record is from RNAcentral.
AGGACGAACGCUGGCGGCGUGCUUAACACAUGCAAGUCGAGCGGUAAGGCCUUUCGGGGUACACGAGCGGCGAACGGGUGAGUAACACGUGGGUGAUCUGCCCUGCACUUCGGGAUAAGCCUGGGAAACUGGGUCUAAUACCGGAUAUGACCUCCUAUCGCAUGGUGGGUGGUGGAAAGAUUUAUCGGUGCAGGAGUCGGGCCCGCGGCCUAUCAGUCUUGUUGGUGGGUAAUGGCCUACAAGGCGACGACGGUAGCCGACCUGAGAGGGUGACCGGCCACACUGGACUGAGACACGGCCCAGACUCCGUACGGGACGGCAGCGACGGUAGGGGAAUAC